GGCGAACGGGUGCGUAACGCGUAUGCAACUUACCUUUUACUAGAGAAUAGCCAAGAGAAAUUUUGAUUAAUGCUCUAUGUUCUUAUUUACUCGCAUGAGUAAAUAAGCAAAGCUCCGGCGGUAAAAGAUGGGCAUGCGUCCUAUUAGCUUGUAGGUGAGGUAAUGGCUCACCUAAGCUCCGAUAGGUAGGGGUCCUGAGAGGGAGAUCCCCCACACUGGUACUGAGACACGGACCAGACUUCUACGGAAGGCAGCAGUAAGGAAUAUUGGACAAUGGAGGCAACUCUGAUCCAGCCAUGCCGCGUGAAGGAAGACGGCCUUAUGGGUUGUAAACUUCUUUUAUACAGGAAGAAACCUUUCCACGUGUGGAAAGCUGACGGUACUGUAAGAAUAAGGAUCGGCUAACUCCGUGCCAGCAGCCGCGGUAAUACGGAGGAUCCAAGCGUUAUCCGGAAUUAUUGGGUUUAAAGGGUCCGCAGGCUGUUUGUUAUGUCAGAGGUGAAAUCCUACCGCUCAACGGUAGAACUGCCUUUGAUACUGGCAAACUUGAGUUAUUGUGAAGUAGUUAGAAUGUGUAGUGUAGCGGUGAAAUGCAUAGAUAUUACACAGAAUACCGAUUGCGAAAGCAGAUUACUAACAAUAUACUGACGCUGAGGGACGAAAGCGUGGGUAGCGAGCAGGAUUAGAUACCCUGGUAGUCCACGCCGUAAACGAUGGUCACUAGCUGUU
Molecule: ribosomal RNA, 729 nt
Filed under: uncultured marine bacterium
Lineage: Bacteria
Description: bacterial SSU rRNA
Rfam family: Bacterial small subunit ribosomal RNA
Source: RNAcentral